Molecule: long non-coding RNA, 787 nt
Organism: Branchiostoma floridae (Florida lancelet)
Lineage: Eukaryota; Metazoa; Chordata; Leptocardii; Amphioxiformes; Branchiostomatidae
Exons: 2
Source: RefSeq, a predicted model, not a curated record
GGGAUGACGUCACUUCCGGUUACCAGGUAUAUAUAGAGGUGCACACCUUAGCACAACGUGCAUGCUGCCAGAUUCCCCGACCACGUCUGGGUCCACACUCCACCGGCACCGCCGAAGCAAACAUGUCCAACCUGAAGAUGCCGACAGGAGGUUUGCGUUAGUUCCAGCGCCCAGAGACGGUCGGUCUGGAACGCCGAAGGGACCUCGAGGGUUUAGCGGUAUCGCCGGGUCUGACGCUCUCCCCCUCCAACAACAGGGAUGCGCGGGACACACCACCACCCAGAGCCGGCAUAAGCCACCCUCAACCUCGUCAGAUGUGCGGCCUGAUAGGACCCGUUGGUGGCCUGCACAAGCCUUAGCAGCAGAGAGGGCUCAAGACGCGCCAGGAACCUGUUAGCCGAACAGUUAGGCUGUAAUGUUUUAUGUUGUGAACCAUGUUCUUUGUGCCGAACAUAGUGCUACAAGGGACAGCGGUCAGAGGAUCAGGGUCGACUGGCGCUCCAGUCCCCGACACCGCCCAGCCCCUGCCGGUCAGUUCAGCUAACCCCGCCGACAACUCAAGGAACUGUAAGUCAUUUUCCCCCUACUUUUCGUGAAUAGAUUUUGACAUAUCGUUCUCCAGUGCGAUGGGGUGCCGCGGGAUGCUGGAGGGUUAGGAACUAAUCGAGCAACCCUGUUUUGAGAUUGGUCUGACCAAGAACGUCUUUGGUCUGACGCCGUUUAUAGCACGGCAAGAUAUCAUUCAGUGCGAUGGGGUUCCGCGGUAAGCUGAAUGACCCAAAAAAAA